UACGGGGGGGGCAAGCGUUGUUCGGAAUUACUGGGCGUAAAGGGCUCGUAGGCGGCCAACUAAGUCAGACGUGAAAUCCCCCGGCUUAACCAAGGAACUGCGUCUGAUACUGGAUGGCUUGAGUUUGGGAGAGGGAUGCGGAAUUCCAGGUGUAGCGGUGAAAUGCGUAGAUAUCUGGAGGAACACCGGUGGCGAAGGCGACAUCCUGGACCAACACUGACGCUGAGUGAGCGAAAGCCAGGGGAGCAAACGGG
RNAcentral lists this ribosomal RNA (254 nucleotides) under uncultured bacterium. RNAcentral describes it as "partial 16S ribosomal RNA". It matches the Rfam family "Bacterial small subunit ribosomal RNA", at positions 524 to 776 of the family's 1533-position model. The record is from RNAcentral.